Molecule: transfer RNA, 66 nt
Filed under: Bavayia lepredourensis
Lineage: Eukaryota; Metazoa; Chordata; Lepidosauria; Squamata; Diplodactylidae
Description: tRNA-Cys
Source: RNAcentral
AGCCCUGUAGUGAUUAACACAUUAAAUUGCAAAUUUAAAAAGGUUCCUUUAUUGGCUCCGGGGCUU